RNAcentral lists this ribosomal RNA (462 nucleotides) under uncultured bacterium. Its description in RNAcentral is "bacterial SSU rRNA". It matches the Rfam family "Bacterial small subunit ribosomal RNA", at positions 29 to 506 of the family's 1533-position model. The record is from RNAcentral.
ACGAACGCUGGCGGCGUGCUUAACACAUGCAAGUCGAGCGAAAGGAUUCCCUUCGGGGAUGAAUUUAGCGGCGGACGGGUGAGUAACACGUGGGCAACCUGCCUUAUAGAGGGGGAUAGCCUUCCGAAAGGAAGAUUAAUACCGCAUAACAUCAGACUAUCGCAUGGUAGACUGAUCAAAGGAGCAAUCCGCUAUAAGAUGGGCCCGCGUCGCAUUAGCUAGUUGGUGAGGUAACGGCUCACCAAGGCGACGAUGCGUAGCCGACCUGAGAGGGUGAUCGGCCACAUUGGGACUGAGACACGGCCCAGACUCCUACGGGAGGCAGCAGUGGGGAAUAUUGCACAAUGGGGGAAACCCUGAUGCAGCAACGCCGCGUGAGUGAUGAAGGCCUUCGGGUUGUAAAGCUCUGUCUUUGGGGACGAUAAUGACGGUACCCAAGGAGGAAGCCACGGCUAACUACGU